UCAGAUGUUCCCCUGAUAAGUUGUUUUGUAAUGGUUGCUUUAUUUGACCACAGCAGAGUUCAAUAUUAUAGAAUGUGUGUGUGUGUGUGUGUGUGUGUGUGUGUGUGUGUGUGUGUGUGUGUGUGUGUGUGUGUGUGUGUGUGUGUGUGUGUGUGUGUGUCAAUAUCCUUACAAAUAUGAAAAUCUGCAUACUGUAUGACACAGAUACGAGUAAGAAUAAAGUAAUCUUCUUUCUAACCCUUUAAAUGUUAGGGGUGGUAAAGGAAGAGUAUGUGCAUAACUCUAAGCUUGGAGUAUGUGCUUAACUCUUACUUGGCUUGGAAGAAGGACAAAAGGAAGGCGAGACCUGGGAAACCUCGCUGCUCUUUCGCUCCUAGCUGUCUGUUAAAGUGAAUAUAAAAAAUCUCAGAUAAUAACUAUUUUAAUUCGCACACAAAAUAACCUGAAGCUAGUUUUAGUUUCCCUAACACUGAUACUUUUCUCAUCAAAAAGAAAGGAGGACCAAGGCACUCUUCAUAUAAUUAAUUUAAAUGCCUUUAUUAGUAUGGCAUGUUCAAUAGAAACAAAGUUUUUAAAAAUCCGACGCGUUUCAGCUGCAUGGCCUUCGUCAGGGAGUACAAAAAAAAAAUACAAUGUCCUCUUUUGAACAGCUUUUCCAAAUAGCCCUAAUUAGAAGAGGGAGUGGUUACAAAAUUGAUUGGACACACCUAGUAAGCAAUACUAUACACAUUAAAAAGUGAAAUACUGAAGCUAUGUUAUCAUAAAAAUACAACUCCAAGCUAGAAGUAUCAGGACACUUAGAAAGGUAGUUCUAAACUUAAAUAUGACCGGGAGAAGUGUCAAGAAUAAGACUACAAUAUAUUCCAUAGUACACUAGAACACAGCAAAACAUGAACAACAACAGUCUAAACAUAGCUGAGGGCAAUUGAGCAAAAUGUCCACUAGAAGACAGAAAAUGGACCUAUCACAACCCUACAGGAAGGGUGAGAAAUCCAUGUCUUCCUUUAAACCAGGGUAUUUAGUGGCCUGUAGAUUGUAAAUCCAAAAACUUUCCCUUUGGUUUAAUUGUUUAAGACGGUCCCCUUUUCUAAUAGAGGCUGGAAUAUGAUCAAUACCCAUAGCUUGUAGGGAGGCAGGAUUGCCAUGGUGUAAGGACUUGUAGUGCCUUGCCAUGGGGUAGUCUUCAUUGCCUACCCGUAUGGCGUAUUUGUGUUCCGCUAAGCGGUCUUGAAGGCGUCUCGUUGUCCGUCCAAUGUAGAACACCUUGCACUGUGGAUAUUCCAAUCUAUAGAUGACAUGAGUGGUUUUGCAGUUAAUGAAAUGCUUGACGUAAUACUCCAUUUUGGAAGCUGUGUCAACAAAAUACUUAUUCUGUGCAAUAUUUCUGCAAUGGUUGCAAUGGUUACAUUUGAAAGAGCCCUUGGGUUUGUGGUCAAGCCAAGUUUGAGAGUCAGCCGGAAGAUAACUGUGGACUAAUUUGUCAUUUAGGCUAGGACAUCUCUUAAAGCUUAUGACUGGUGGCUCAGGAAAGACUUGGCGUAGUAGCGUAUCACUUUGGAUGAUUCCCCAAUUAUUUUUAAUGAUUCUUUUAAUGUUCUCUGCUUCAGUGCUGUAUUUUGUAACAAAAUACACUCUCUCUGAUGUAUCACGAGGCACUCCUCUUCGCAACAAGUUCUCUCUGUCAAGUAAUCCAGCCCUUAUACCUGCAUCUUUCAGGACCUGAACGCUGUAGCCCCGAUUCAAGAAGUGAUUCUCCAAUUCAGCAGAUUUGACACUGUAGUCUGUUUCCUGAUCGCAAAUUCUGCGGACUCUUUGGAAUUGGCCAUAUGGAAUACUCUCUUUUAGCCUUUUGGAGUGAAAGUUGUCUGCCCUCAGAAUGGUAUUCCCAUCUGUAGGCUUCCUAAAGGUUGAUGUGUGCAAACAACCUUUGUCAUUUUUACUAAUGUCGAGGUCCAAAAAAUGAAUGUUAUCCUUGCUGUACUCCAUAGUUAGUUUGAUGUUAGGGUUAAUGCUGUUAAGGUAUUGGUGGAAGGAAAUAAGUUCAUCUUUUGAGCCAGACCAAAACAGGCAAACAUCAUCAAUAUGCAUCCCCACCAUAUAAUCCGGUCAAAGAAAUGGUUAUUAGAAGGAUCCAAAAUGAAGUCAUUUUCCCAUUUACCCAAGUACAAACCAGCGUAGAAAGUGCUGUAGCAAGCUCCCAUGGCACAUCCUUUGACCUGUUUGAAAAUACGGUCCUGAAAGAUAAAGAUGUUAUGAUUAAGAGUCCAUUCAGUCAGUGAGACAAUGAAUUCUGUAGGAGGCAUCUCAGUUUCAGGUCAGGCACUCAAGUAAUGGUGCAUAGCUGCCAAACCUUGUUCAUGCUCAAUGGUGGUAUAUAGAGACCACAUCCAUGGUGACUAAAAAGGAAGCUGUACCAAUAUUGAUACUUUUCUCUUUGUCUUCCUAUGGUUACCUCGGUGGAAGCCAACAAUCUUCUACAGUUGGAGCAGUUGGAUGCCCUAUACUUCAGUGAAGCCCAAUAGACAAAGACCAUCGACUGUCCGAACCCCCCAGGAGGUAUCCCAUCCACCAGAACCUGUGAGUUCAGAUCAGUCUGAUUCUCUGUGCUCUGAGUUGGAGGUGGACCAUCUUGAGGACCUAGAGGUUCUGCCCAACACCCAGACAUGGAUCCAUCUGAUGUCCUCCAUUACCAACCACCCUCCAACUUUUCAUUACAUCAUGUAUUCCCAAACUGGGGUACGCGCAAUGCCGUCGGGGGUACGCCAAAUAAAAAUGUCAUUCACAUUUAUAAAAAAUGAUCUACACUAAAAGUUUGGGGUCACUUAGAAAUGUCUUUGUUUUUGAAAGAAAAGCACAUUUCUGUCCAUUCAAAUAACAUCAAAUUGAUCAGAAAUACAGUGUAGACAUUGUUAAUGUUGUAAAUUACUAUUGUAGCUGGUUUUUAAUGGAAUAUCUACAUAGGCGUACAGAGGCCCAUUAUCAGCAACCAUCACUCAUGUGUUCCAAUGGCACGUUGUGUUAGCUAAUCCAAGUUUAGAAUUUUAAACGGCUAAUUGAUCAUUAGAAAACCCUUUUGCAAUUAUGUUAGCACAGCUGAAAACUGUUGUGCUAAUUAAAGAAGCAAUAAAACUGGCCUCCUUUAGACUAGUUGAGUAUCUGGAGCACCAGCAUUUGUGGGUUCGAUUACAGGCUCAAAAUGUCCAGAAACAAAUAACCUUCUUUUGAAACUCGUCAGUCUAUUCUUCUUGGAAAUUAAGGCUAUUCCAUGCGAGAAAUUGCCAAGAAACUGAAGAUCUCAUACAAUGCUGUGUGCUACUCCCUUCACAGAACAGCGCAAACUGGCUCUAACCAGAAUAGAAAGAGGGGUGGGAGGCCCCGGUGCACAACUGAGCAAGAGGACAAGUACAUUAGAGUGUGUAGUUUGAGAAACAGACACCUCAUAAGUCUUUAACUGGCAGCUUCAUUAAAUAGUACCCGCAAAACACCAGUCUCAACGUCAACAGUGAAGAGGCGACUCCGGGAUGCUGGCCUUCUGGCCUUCUAGACUGAGACUCUCUCACAAUUUUCAUUGAAUAAAUAAGGUUUUAUAUGUAAGAUGGCUAAAUAAAGAGCAAAAUUAUUGAUUAUUGUUAUAUUAUUAUUUGUGCCCUGGUUCUAUAAGAGCUCUUUGUCACUUCCCACGAGCCGGGUUGUGACAAAACUCACACUCAUUCUUAUGUUUAAUAAAUGGAUUGUAUAGUGUGUGUGUGUGUGGCAGAUUUACAAUGAUGGCAAAAAACAACAUUUGAGAGUGAGCUGACCUUGGUGCUAGAGGGGGUACGCAGCUGGAGGUUGAAUGUUUGAAGGGGUACGGGACUAUAAAAAGUUUGGGAACCACUGCAUUACAUUAUCUACAGCUACUGUUGUUGUCAUGUUGUCAAUAUCUACUAAGAAAGUUUUUUUGCUCUAUUAUACUGGGCACAUAAUAUGUGAGAUACACAGAAGGAUUGGACCUUCAAUUUUCACCUAAAAUGACAUACCUAAAUCUAACUGCCUGUAGCUCAGGGCCUGAAAGCAAGGACAUGCAUAUUAUUGAUACCAUUUGAAAGGAAACACUUUGAAGUUUGUGGAAAUGUGGAAUUAAUGUAGGAGAAUAUAACACAUUAGAUCUGGUAAAAGAUAAUGCAAACAAAAUAACAUGCAUUUUCUAUAUAU
This is a long non-coding RNA of Salvelinus fontinalis (brook trout), 4194 nucleotides long. RefSeq lists it as uncharacterized. The record is from RefSeq and is a predicted model, not a curated record. The transcript is spliced from 3 exons. NCBI's taxonomy places the organism in Eukaryota, Metazoa, Chordata, Actinopteri, Salmoniformes, Salmonidae.